UUUAACUGAAGAGUUUGAUCAUGGCUCAGAUUGAACGCUGGCGGCAGGCUUAACACAUGCAAGUCGAGCGGGGGAAGGUAGCUUGCUACUGGACCUAGCGGCGGACGGGU
This 110-nucleotide ribosomal RNA is filed under the name Acinetobacter baumannii. RNAcentral describes it as "partial 16S ribosomal RNA". It matches the Rfam family "Bacterial small subunit ribosomal RNA", at positions 1 to 107 of the family's 1533-position model. Lineage: Bacteria; Pseudomonadati; Pseudomonadota; Gammaproteobacteria; Moraxellales; Moraxellaceae. The record is from RNAcentral.